This 301-nucleotide ribosomal RNA is filed under the name uncultured bacterium. Its description in RNAcentral is "partial 16S ribosomal RNA". It matches the Rfam family "Bacterial small subunit ribosomal RNA", at positions 509 to 809 of the family's 1533-position model. The record is from RNAcentral.
CAGUCGCCGCGGUAAUACGUAGGUGGCAAGCGUUGUCCGGAAUUAUUGGGCGUAAAGGGCUCGCAGGCGGUUUCUUAAGUCUGAUGUGAAAGCCCCCGGCUCAACCGGGGAGGGUCAUUGGAAACUGGGAAACUUGAGUGCAGAAGAGGAGAGUGGAAUUCCACGUGUAGCGGUGAAAUGCGUAGAGAUGUGGAGGAACACCAGUGGCGAAGGCGACUCCCUGGUCUGUAACUGACGCUGAGGAGCGAAAGCGUGGGGAGCGAACAGGAUUAGAUACCCGUGUAGUCCCUGUCUCUUAUAA